This 279-nucleotide ribosomal RNA is filed under the name uncultured bacterium. RNAcentral describes it as "partial 16S ribosomal RNA". It matches the Rfam family "Bacterial small subunit ribosomal RNA", at positions 506 to 784 of the family's 1533-position model. The record is from RNAcentral.
UGCCAGCCGCCGCGGUAAUACGGAGGGGGCUAGCGUUGUUCGGAAUUACUGGGCGUAAAGCGCGCGUAGGCGGGCAUUUAAGUCGGGGGUGAAAUCCCGGGGCUCAACCCCGGAACCGCCUCCGAUACUGGAUGCCUAGAGGAUGAGAGAGGCGAGUGGAAUACCGAGUGUAGAGGUGAAAUUCGUAGAUAUUCGGUGGAACACCAGUGGCGAAGGCGGCUCGCUGGCUCAUUUCUGACGCUGAGGUGCGAAAGCGUGGGGAGCAAACACGAUUCGAUA